CGUGUAGGCGGUCUUUUAAGUCUGAUGUGAAAGCCCCGGGCUCAACCUGGGAAGUGCAUUGGAUACUGGGAGACUUGAGUACGGGAGAGGGCAGUGGAAUUCCCAGUGUAGGAGUGAAAUCCGUAGAUAUUGGGAGGAACACCGGUGGCGAAGGCGGCUGCCUGGACCGAUACUGACGCUGAGACGCGAAAGCGUGGGGAGCAAACAGGAUUAGAUACCCUGGUAGUCCACGCCGUAAACGAUGAGCACUAGGUGUUGCGGGUAUUGACCCCUGCAGUGCCGCAGCUAACGCAUUAAGUGCUCCGCCUGGGAAGUACGGCCGCAAGGCUAAA
Molecule: ribosomal RNA, 332 nt
Filed under: uncultured bacterium
Lineage: Bacteria
Description: bacterial SSU rRNA
Rfam family: Bacterial small subunit ribosomal RNA
Source: RNAcentral